GAGUUUGAUCAUGGUUCAGGACGAACGCUGGCGGCGUGCCUAACACAUGCAAGUCGAGCGAUGAAACCCCUUCGGGGGUGGAUUAGCGGCGGACGGGUGAGUAACACGUGGGUAACCUGCCUCAAAGUGGGGGAUAGCCUUCCGAAAGGAAGAUUAAUACCGCAUAAAGCCAAGUUUCACAUGGAAUUUGGAUGAAAGGAGUAAUUCGCUUUGAGAUGGACCCGCGGCGCAUUAGUUAGUUGGUGGGGUAAUGGCCUACCAAGACAGCGAUGCGUAGCCGACCUGAGAGGGUGAUCGGCCACAUUGGAACUGAGAUACGGUCCAGACUCCUACGGGAGGCAGCAGUGGGGAAUAUUGCACAAUGGGCGAAAGCCUGAUGCAGCAACGCCGCGUGAGUGAUGAAGGUCUUCGGAUUGUAAAGCUCUGUCUUUUGGGACGAUAAUGACGGUACCAAAGGAGGAAGCCACGGCUAACUACGUGCCAGCAGCCGCGGUAAUACGUAGGUGGCGAGCGUUGUCCGGAUUUACUGGGCGUAAAGGGUGCGUAGGCGGAUGUUUAAGUGAGAUGUGAAAUACCCGGGCUUAACUUGGGUGCUGCAUUUCAAACUGGAUAUCUAGAGUGCAGGAGAGGAGAAUGGAAUUCCUAGUGUAGCGGUGAAAUGCGUAGAGAUUAG
RNAcentral lists this ribosomal RNA (673 nucleotides) under uncultured Clostridium sp. Its description in RNAcentral is "bacterial SSU rRNA". It matches the Rfam family "Bacterial small subunit ribosomal RNA", at positions 9 to 700 of the family's 1533-position model. Lineage: Bacteria; Bacillati; Bacillota; Clostridia; Eubacteriales; Clostridiaceae. The record is from RNAcentral.